Molecule: transfer RNA, 73 nt
Filed under: Myotis davidii
Lineage: Eukaryota; Metazoa; Chordata; Mammalia; Chiroptera; Vespertilionidae
Rfam family: tRNA
About the family: Transfer RNA (tRNA) molecules are approximately 80 nucleotides in length. Their secondary structure includes four short double-helical elements and three loops (D, anti-codon, and T loops).
Source: Rfam by way of RNAcentral
ACCGGUUUGGCUCAGUGGGUAGAGCGUUGGCCUGCAGAGUCAAGGGUUCCAGGUUCGAUUCCGGCCAUGGGCA